GGUGGCUCAGUGGUAGAGUACUUGCCUUGCAUUCAUGAGGCCCUGGGUUCAAUUCCUCAGCACCA
RNAcentral lists this transfer RNA (65 nucleotides) under Dipodomys ordii (Ord's kangaroo rat). It matches the Rfam family "tRNA". From Rfam's summary of the family: Transfer RNA (tRNA) molecules are approximately 80 nucleotides in length. Their secondary structure includes four short double-helical elements and three loops (D, anti-codon, and T loops). Lineage: Eukaryota; Metazoa; Chordata; Mammalia; Rodentia; Heteromyidae. The record is from Rfam by way of RNAcentral.